GAUGAACGCUAGCGGCAGGCCUAACACAUGCAAGUCGAGGGGUAACAUAGUUUGCUUGCAAACUGAUGACGACCGGCGCACGGGUGCGGAACGCGUAUCGAACCUGCCCCCUUCAGGGGAAUAGCCCAUGGAAACGUGGAUUAAUGCCCCAUGGCACCCAUUGACCACCUGGUCAUUGGGUUAAAGAUUUAUCGGAAGGGGAUGGCGAUGCGUGCCAUUAGCUGGUUGGUAAGGUAACGGCUUACCAAGGCAACGAUGGCUAGGGGCCCUGAGAGGGGGAUCCCCCACACUGGUACUGAGACACGGACCAGACUCCUACGGGAGCAGCAGUGAGGAAUAUUGGACAAUGGUGGGAACACUGAUCCAGCCAUGCCGCGUGCAGGAUGACGGCCCUA
This 395-nucleotide ribosomal RNA is filed under the name uncultured bacterium. Its description in RNAcentral is "bacterial SSU rRNA". It matches the Rfam family "Bacterial small subunit ribosomal RNA", at positions 28 to 419 of the family's 1533-position model. The record is from RNAcentral.